Molecule: long non-coding RNA, 1211 nt
Organism: Cyprinus carpio carpio
Lineage: Eukaryota; Metazoa; Chordata; Actinopteri; Cypriniformes; Cyprinidae
Source: Ensembl
GUUUGGUUUAUAUUAGCUCAAUCAGAGUGAUUGGCAGUUCGACAUUGAGAUGUUGUCUAGCUCGCACGAAAGAGCUGCGGGUUAACCCUCUGAAGUCGAUUACGUGUUUUGAGGCAUUUUCUCCUGAUAACCCCGAAAAGAACUUAAAUUACACUUUCAGUUUUGAUCGCACAGAUAAGAGCAAUACAUCAAUCGAAUCUGUAAAGGGUAAACUUUUAUUUGUAUCCACACAUAAUAACAACAAAACUUUGUGCAUUUAUAAAAUAAAGAAAACAAUCAAAGUGCGCUUUCUGCAGCCUUAGUCUGCGGUGAUCUUCAUUCGGAAACGCGUCAUUAAAGUGAACUGUAACUCAGUGAAUACUCAACGAAGAGACAUGAGAGAGAUAUCUAUAGAAAGCUUGACAUCUCUACUUUUAAACCAAGCAAGUGCUACCAAAAACAAAUAUUCUCUGAUAAAGUAAUCCAUAUGAAAACAACGCGAUGUCCGUCUUUCACGUCUCCCUUCAUUAUAUCUAAUGCGACCACACCCACGCGCCGAGCGCGCUAUUGAGAUUAUAAUCUUGAAGCUUGUGCGGGUAACCGCCCUCAUCAGAGCAAACAAAGCAGCGAGACUGUACUUCACGUUUUUUAAAUGUUACUGUUCGCUUCACGCUGAGAGGAAUACGAUUUGGAUUACCUCAGAAAGAAGAACGAAGCGGCUUGACCCAGCAGAGAUAAACAUGAAUAAAUAAUAACCUGUUGCAAAACGAGCCAAUGCAAAUAAGCAGCCCACUCAGGAACCUGGAACACAGCUAAGACCAAGCGAGGCACACACUCCCAUCUCUUCAAAGUCUCUUCAAAAAAGUAUGUCCUUCAGAGCACAUAAACAAUAUACAAUUUGGAAAUGCCAGGUAUGUGAUGUUCAUUUAUAUAUUUCAACAUGACACAUGAGCCUGCAUUUAUUUGAUCCAAAAUACAAAAAGUUGCAUUUGUAAUACAAUAUUACUGCAUACAGUAAUAUUGUGAAAUAUUUUUUGCUAUUUAAAAUAACUGGUUUCUAUUUGAAUAUAUUUUAAAAUUAAAUUUAUUCCUGUGAUCAAAGCUAAAUUUUCAGCAUCAUAACUCCAGUCUUACUCCAAGUGUAACAAUAUACACUAUACCAUUUAAAAGCUGGGAGUCAGUGUGUGUGUGUAUAUAUAUAUAACUUAUUUAGCACACAAGUGAUGAAAAAU